RNAcentral lists this microRNA precursor (99 nucleotides) under Brassica carinata (Ethiopian mustard). RNAcentral's name for it is "MIR9563 microRNA precursor family". It matches the Rfam family "MIR9563 microRNA precursor family". Lineage: Eukaryota; Viridiplantae; Streptophyta; Magnoliopsida; Brassicales; Brassicaceae. RNAcentral also lists the same sequence under 1 other name. The record is from Rfam by way of RNAcentral.
GGAAUAUAAGAACCCGUCUCUUCACUUUUAACUAAAAAAAUUAAGAACCGGAUUCUUAGUUUUUUUAGUUAAAAGUUAAGAGACAAGUUAUUAUAUUUC